AUACGGAGGGUGCAAGCGUUGUCCGGAUUUAUUGGGUUUAAAGGGUGCGUAGGCGGUGCGCUAAGUCAGUGGUGAAAUCCCGCAGCUCAACUGCGGAACUGCCAUUGAUACUGGCGCACUUGAGUACGGACGAGGUAGGCGGAAUUUAUGGUGUAGCGGUGAAAUGCAUAGAUACCAUAAAGAACACCGAUAGCGAAGGCAGCUUACUAGACCGUAACUGACGCUCAGGCACGAAAGCGUGGGGAGCGAACAGGAUUAGAAACCCUAGUAGUCC
This 274-nucleotide ribosomal RNA is filed under the name uncultured bacterium. RNAcentral's name for it is "partial 16S ribosomal RNA". It matches the Rfam family "Bacterial small subunit ribosomal RNA", at positions 523 to 796 of the family's 1533-position model. The record is from RNAcentral.